Molecule: ribosomal RNA, 253 nt
Filed under: uncultured bacterium
Lineage: Bacteria
Description: partial 16S ribosomal RNA
Rfam family: Bacterial small subunit ribosomal RNA
Source: RNAcentral
UACGGGGGGGGCAAGCGUUGUUCGGAAUUACUGGGCGUAAAGGGCUCGUAGGCGGCCAACUAAGUCAGACGUGAAAUCCCUCGGCUUAACCGGGGAACUGCGUCUGAUACUGGAUGGCUUGAGGUUGGGAGAGGGAUGCGGAAUUCCAGGUGUAGCGGUGAAAUGCGUAGAUAUCUGGAGGAACACCAAUGGCGAAGGCAGCUCGCUGGGACGGUACUGACGCUGAGGCGCGAAAGCGUGGGGAGCAAACAGG